This is a long non-coding RNA of Phocoena sinus (vaquita), 4066 nucleotides long. The record is from Ensembl. Lineage: Eukaryota; Metazoa; Chordata; Mammalia; Artiodactyla; Phocoenidae.
UGUGUGUCGUCCCUGCAGGAAGAGUCUGCAGCUGUCCUGUCGCUUAUCUCUGUUAACCUAGCUGGGAUCAGGGCUCCCUUUCCCCUCUCCCGCAUGAGGCCCCAGGCUGGACAUGCCGAGUCACUCAGGUGCCAGGAUCAAAGCAGCGAUGGUCAGCCUCCAAAAAGGAGUCUUCUGGGCUCCUCCUCACCCUCUCCCCUUCCACAGGGUCAAAAUCAGCAUUUCCCAACCUGACCCUGCGGGGACCCCCAACAGGCUGGGAGGGAUCGGCUGUCACCUGCCGCCUGCUUGGCCUUUAAGGUUUAGGUUCUUAAGAUUACAGGUGUGUUAUAUUCUACUAUCUGAGUGUGUCUUUUUUAUGGCUAAAGUGAUGGAUUUUUUCACCCCAGAGCUCGAGGAAGAGCUGACACUUGUGGGAGACGGGCGGUUUGAGCCCCAGCCCGUACGUGCCCCCGGGUGUGUGUGUGUCCGUGGACCUCCCCUUUCAUACUUUUCUCCGCAGUGAAACUCCAGGGCUUCAAGACAGACCAACCUGCACUCUGAGUGACACCUUAUAGUUCGUGUCAUUUUGAGAGAGAACUUCCAGGUGAGGGUGAGUGGCGGCUGAAAAGCAGAUAUACUGCUCGUAUGUUCACGUUUGGCCAAAAUGUCUAGUAUUCUAGUUAAAGUGAAUGUGGCUAAAGGCUACAUUAAAUCAAAGGUAUGUCUAGCAAAAGGCAGUGGGCUCCAAGUGGGAUGGAAAACAAAGGCCUGAUCUCAGAGAGUAUCAGGAAAAACAAGAAUUGCUGGCAACUGGGGCCUCUGGGGCGUAAGCCUGAGGCGGGGCCUCCUGGCUGUGCCACUGGCUGCCCUGAGCAGCACCCAGCACCCAGCCUGGUGGGCUCGGGGGUGGGCAUCGUUGAGUAGACAAGGUACAAGGUGCUAGGAGUAGGAAAAACGUGAGCCCUGUUCUGAGCUCUGAAUUCUCCCAGCGACUCCAUGAGGUGGUCGUGCCGUUGCCUCAAUUUUAGGGAAGAGAAAGUGGGCUUGAGAGGAUGAGUAAGUCCGUGCCAGGGCACACAGACAGAAAGCAGAGGACAGGACCGCAGUCCUGGCGCCGGCUCCUCCCUGCCUGCGGGGUGUGUGACGUUGGGGAGGAACUCUCCCCGGGGCCUAAAGCCCCUGGACCCUGACAGGCGGCCUGGAUUCAGAGCUGAUUCGCUUCCCACUCUGACCUUCCAUGUUUUCCUUGCUGGGCUCCCAGGUCAGGGUCCGUGGUCGUGUGCAAAGGCAGGUGUGUGUGAGUGUGAGUGUGAAUGUUUUUUGGGGGGAGGGGCCUGAAACUUCAUCAGACGUUCAGAGGCGUGUGUGAGCCAAAAAGCAGUAACUAGCCCUGUUCAGACUGGAGGGAAGACCUUUCUGGAGCCAGCUGGGUGGUUGGAACAAAGGUUCAAAAGGAAUGACUCACCAAACAGUAUCUUAGAAAUGUUUUAUUUUAAUUUUGACAUAAUUUCAGUCUUGACAGAGAAGUUACAAAAGAGUACAGAGUUCCCAGGUACCCUUCAUCCCAGUUCCCUAAAUGUUAACAUUUCACACGUUUGUGCCCCCUGUACACAUACAUGUGUGUGCACAUGCACACUUUUUUCUGAACCAUUUAAAAGUAAGUUGCAGAUACUGUGCCCCCUUUACCCUUAAUAAAAGCUAGGAAUGUUCUUACCUAACUGCUGUACGGUGACAAAAUCAGGGAAGUUAACCUUGAUCUCUUGCUGUUACUGUACAGACCUAAUUCACAUUUCACUGAUUGUCCUAAUACUGCCCUUUAUAGCAAAAGAAGAUCAAGAUUGCAUGUCACAUUCAGCUGUCAGGCUCCUUUUGUCUCCUGUGAUCAGGAACAGUCCCCAAGUCUUUGUGAAUGUGGACAUUUCUGAAGCAUCCUGACUAGUUGGUUUGCACAGUGUCCCAGGAUUUGGGGGCGUCUGCUCUUUGCUCCUGUUCAGGUUCUGUAGGCACUCGGGCAGGAAUACCAUGGACAUAAGUCCUGUUUCUGGCAAGGUUAACUUUUAGUUAAGGCAGGCAGGGUUCACUUUGCAAGUACGUGUCUUAUAGAGAGGUUCACUGAGGAUAUGUCAGUACCCUGCUACUCAGACUUUGCACCCCUGGUCUUAGUAUCCAGACAAUGCGUCGUAGCCUUCUAGGUUCAUAUCUCCUUGAGGAAGCGGCUUUUAGAGUGGGUUCCGCAGUGGCCUGAGCUUAAGUGAGGGCCUGUCUGUCACCCUUCAGUAAGAUGCUGGCAAGAGCUCCUGCCUCCCCAGGAGCACAGCAGGGUGUCCUGGGCAGGUGGGCCGGGCACUCAGUGUUACAGGUGGUGCUUCUCAACACUCACCAGGACUUCUCUGGUGACCAAGAGGCCAAAGGAUGUCUGUGUUACCUAGUGCUACGUAAGGAACCACCACAGACUCUAGCCACUUAACACCAUAGCAGUUUCUUUUCUCUUGGGAUUCUGAGGGUUUUCUGGCUGGUUCUCUCCAUGUGGUGCCGGCUGGGGCACUGGGGCAGCCCCUGUCAUCUGGGAGCUCAGCUGGGGUGCUGGCCGGGGGGCUUCAGUUCUCUUCCCGCCUCCCCGUGGGACUGCUUACAACACCUCAUGGCGAGGUAGCUGGGUUCCAAGAAGGAACAUUCUUCCAACUUUCCAGGAAGACAGACCCCACUGCAAGUGCUUCUCAAGCCUCUGCUUGCAUCGUGCUUACUGCUGACCCAUCAGCCGGAGCCAGUGACGUGGCCGAACUCCUAGACCACACCGGAGGGAGCACUUCACAAGGACAAAUACUGGGAUAUGUGGUUCCCGAGGGGAGGGGGAUGGCAAGCACCAAAGUAUAGUCAACCAAAAGGGUCAUUAUGGAAAAGCCUGUGAAGUUGUGACACCCAGAGGGCAGCUGCCCGGCUUGGAAUUGUUCCCCUUUGGGGCAACUGGGUGGGCUGUAGCUGGUGGACACCUCAUCCAUGCUAGGAAGGCAGUGAGGGCGUACCUCGAGGCCAGAGUGCAUGCAGGAGCUCUAGGUGGCCACGGUUUUUUGUUUUUUAUUUUGUUUGUGGGCCAGUCUAGAGAACAGGAAGGGUUGAGACAGUUUCAGAUAGAUUUCUGGUGAGGCCUCUCCCUGAGGCUGGCUGAGGCUCCCCCUCAGGAUUGGGGAAGGCUUCCCCUUACAUCCAUCCCAUUUUAUAGUAAAUCAUCCCGCCUUCUUUUUAAAGUUUUAUGGAGGUGUAAUUUGCAUACUAUAAAAUUCACCAAUUUUAAGUGUACAAUUCAGUGGUUUUUAGUAGAUUUAUGGAGUUAUCACUCAAUCCAGUUGUAGAACAUGGGGCCAGAGAGGCCCCUGGUGCUCAUUUGCAGUCAGUCCCCACUCCUGCCCCAGCCCAGACGACCACCAAUCUGUUUUCUGUCCCUAUAGAUUUGCCUUUUCUAGAUGUUACAUGUCAAAUGACCCUUUUUGCUUUACUUCACGUUGGCUUGUUACCAGCUACCAGAGAGGCUUCUCUAACCCAGCAUAGCCCAUUGCUUUAGAUAUUUUGGUAUAAAUCCUACAAGGCCUUUUGUCUUAUGCACAUACAUAUGCCCUUGCAUGUGUCAUUUUUUUUCAUAUACUAGUUUUUAAAAUGAACUGUGAUCAUAUUGUAUAUCUUGUUCUAUAAGAUACACGACUUUUGGGGUUUUUUUUUUUACGUGAUCACAGAUAACAUUCCACAUUGUCAUAUGUUCUAAAAAAUCAUAUAUGAUAGAAUUAUAUUUUGUUAUAGGCAUGUACCAUAGUUUAACAAAUACCCCUGUUUCCAAAUAAUGCAAUCAUACCAACAGGCUAAAGAAUAAAAAUCACAUGGUCAUAUCACAUGAUACAUGACAGAAUCCAAUACCCAUUCAUGAUAAAAAUUCUUAGCAGGGGCUUCCCUGGUAGCGCAGUGGUUGAGAGUCUGCCUGCCGAUGCAGGGGACACGGGUUCGUGCCCCGGUCUGGGAAGAUCCCACAUGCCGUUCUCUGGAGCCUGUGCUCUGCAACGGGAGAGGCCACAACAGUGAGAGGCCCGUGUACCGC